RNAcentral lists this transfer RNA (77 nucleotides) under Desulfovibrio sp. RNAcentral's name for it is "tRNA-Asp". It matches the Rfam family "tRNA". Rfam says of the family: Transfer RNA (tRNA) molecules are approximately 80 nucleotides in length. Their secondary structure includes four short double-helical elements and three loops (D, anti-codon, and T loops). Further hydrogen bonds mediate the characteristic L-shaped molecular structure. tRNAs have two regions of fundamental functional importance: the anti-codon, which is responsible for specific mRNA codon recognition, and the 3' end, to which the tRNAs corresponding amino acid is attached (by aminoacyl-tRNA synthetases). tRNAs cope with the degeneracy of the genetic code in two manners: having more than one tRNA (with a specific anti-codon) for a particular amino acid; and 'wobble' base-pairing, i.e. permitting non-standard base-pairing at the 3rd anti-codon position. The record is from RNAcentral. RNAcentral also lists the same sequence under 23 other names. Lineage: Bacteria; Pseudomonadati; Thermodesulfobacteriota; Desulfovibrionia; Desulfovibrionales; Desulfovibrionaceae.
GGAGCCGUAGUUAAGCUGGUUAUAACGCCGGCCUGUCACGCCGGAGGCCGCGAGUUCGAGUCUCGUCGGCUCCGCCA